This 60-nucleotide transfer RNA is filed under the name opilioacarid SJD-2001. RNAcentral describes it as "tRNA-Arg". The record is from RNAcentral. Lineage: Eukaryota; Metazoa; Arthropoda; Arachnida; Opilioacarida; Opilioacaridae.
AUAAGAGAAACAAAAUUUGUAAUCAGUUUCGACCUGAAAAUCAGGGUAAACCCUCUUAUU